UGAGGAAUAUUGGUCAAUGGGCGUAAGCCUGAACCAGCCAAGUAGCGUGAGGGAAGACUGCCCUAUGGGUUGUAAACCUCUUUUGUGCGGGGAUAAAGUGAGGGACGUGUCCCUUAUUGCAGGUACCGCACGAAUAAGGACCGGCUAAUUCCGUGCCAGCAGCCGCGGUAAUACGGAAGGUCCGGGCGUUAUCCGGAUUUAUUGGGUUUAAAGGGAGCGCAGGCCGUCCUUUAAGCGUGCUGUGAAAUGCCGCGGCUCAACCGUGGCACUGCAGCGCGAACUGGAGGACUUGAGUACGCACGAGGUAGGCGGAAUUCGUGGUGUAGCGGUGAAAUGCUUAGAUAUCACGAAGAACUCCGAUUGCGAAGGCAGCUUACCGGAGCGCAACUGACGCUGAGGCUCGAAAGCGCGGGUAUCGAACAGGAUUAGAUACCCUGGUAGUCCGCGCGGUAAACGAUGGAUGCCCGCCGUUGGGAUUUGGAUUUCAGCGGCCAAGCGAAAGCGUUAAGCAUCCCACCUGGGGGAGUACGCCGGCAACGGUGAAACUCAAAGGAAUUGACGGGGGCCCGCACAAGCGGAGGAACAUGUGGUUUAAUUCGAUGAUACGCGAGGAACCUUACCCGGGCUUGAAUUGCAGGAGAACGAUCCAGAGAUGGUGAGGCCCUUCGGGGCUCCUGUGAAGGUGCUGCAUGGUUGUCGUCAGCUCGUGCCGUGAGGUGUCGGCUCAAGUGCCAUAACGAGCGCAACCCCUGUCCAUAGUUGCCAUCAGGUCGUGCUGGGCACUCUGUGGAGACUGCCGCCGUAAGGUGUGAGGAAGGUGGGGAUGACGUCAAAUCAGCACGGCCCUUACGUCCGGGGCUACACACGUGUUACAAUGGGGCAUACAGCGAGUCGGAUGUGCGCAAGUACGUCCGGAUCAAUAAAGUGCCUCUCAGUUCGGACUGGGGUCUGCAACCCGACCCCACGAAGCUGGAUUCGCUAGUAAUCGCGCAUCAGCCAUGGCGCGGUGAAUACGUUCCC
This 1020-nucleotide ribosomal RNA is filed under the name uncultured bacterium. RNAcentral's name for it is "bacterial SSU rRNA". It matches the Rfam family "Bacterial small subunit ribosomal RNA", at positions 355 to 1375 of the family's 1533-position model. The record is from RNAcentral.